Long non-coding RNA from Ailuropoda melanoleuca (giant panda), 545 nucleotides. RefSeq lists it as uncharacterized. Lineage: Eukaryota; Metazoa; Chordata; Mammalia; Carnivora; Ursidae. The transcript is spliced from 4 exons. The record is from RefSeq and is a predicted model, not a curated record.
GAGAUCAUGACCUGAGCCGAAGUCAAGUUGGCUGCUUAACCGACUGAGCCACCCAGGGAAAGGUUGGAUAUGUGGCCUUUGGAUUCCUGAUGAUGGACAAAUGUUCACACACACUGUCUACUGCUGGCAAAAUAACCCAGUGAAACUGGACAUCCAAGAAUUGGAAUGAUGCAAGCUGCUCUGGAAGCUAAAACCGUGCUGCCAGAAGUGGGUGAGGAAGCAGAAUAUCAGCAGGUCAGAAGGUAGCCCUGAGUUCUGUGGGGAUAGGACCCAGAUAUUCAUUCAAGACUGGAAGGCCUCAACCAGGAUGUUGGUGACCAGAGUCCUGUGGAAGCAGGAGACUGGAUGAGAUGGACUGAGGGCCCUUACAGUGCUGAGAUUCAGUGAUUCCAGAGGGGUGAGGGUGGGGGCUAUUCUGCAUCUUGGGGCUGGCUACUGAAUGAAGUGGACGACAACAACAACAACAACAACAACAACAACAACAAAAUAGAUAUAUAUAUAUAUAUGUUACAGCAGCCUUGAAAAUAAACCGGUAUGUGGCCACA